CCGGUUUGUUUAUUAUUUUUGAUAAUUUUGUUGAUAGUUGGAAAUUGGACAAGUGAUACCCUGAUUUUAUCUUAACAUGGAGGACAACGGAGGCAUUUAUGCAUUUUAGAUUUGAAUGAGUUCAUUAUUAUUAAAAAUAAUAACGAUUUAGGGAGUUUGAACCUUGAUUCUCAAGCUAACCAGCUAAAAUAUGUUAUGCCAACACAAGUUUUAACAGUACCAACACCAACUACUUCAAUAGAUGGACGUGGCGUUGAAUAUAAAUGGAAUGAAUGUUGAACUAGAAUUCUGAUUGAUUUUUAUAAAAGUAUUAGAAACAAAGUUGGCACUUUCGAAGUUGAGAGUAUUAAGAUUAUGUGUGGGUAAAAAUUGUAGAGGAAAUAUGUAAAUGCAAGUAACUGCAUGAAUCGUUGGAGAGUUAUUGAACGGAACUACAAGAAGUAUGUUGAAGAUCAAAAUAAGACGGGUUUUUUAUAUAUUCUUUACAUUUUUGGGCGAAGGCGAAAAUUUUUUGAAUACAUGUCCGAAAUUGAGGACAUUUAUGGAAAGAAAAAAUAAUAUCCUCCCUGAAAUAUUAUUAGGCAGUGAAGAUGUGGAUACUCAAGAAUUUGGUCCUGCAGAAGAAAUCGUAGAAAAUGAA
Molecule: long non-coding RNA, 640 nt
Organism: Anthonomus grandis grandis
Lineage: Eukaryota; Metazoa; Arthropoda; Insecta; Coleoptera; Curculionidae
Exons: 3
Source: RefSeq, a predicted model, not a curated record